UAAAAAGCUAGCUAUAUCUCCUGGAGUUUAUCAGCUCUUUCCUGAGCUAACCCUAUUUGUAAGACUAUGCCAUAGAACAGAUCUGUGAAGCAAUUCCCUUAAAGCAAAAAAGGAUUUUCCACUCUGAGAAUAUGAAGCUAUCAUACCCCACAAACAUAAUGGUUUUGCAUUUAAAUCAUAGAAUCAUAGAAUGGUUUGGGUUAGAAGGGACCUUAAAAGAUCAUCUAAUAAGAGCUGUUUGCUGUAAAAACCUGGAUGAAGUCAUAGCUGGAGUGGCCAUGCACUGAGAUGCUGGAAGGAGAGACCCUGCAGCACAGGGAGAAGUGCUCCAGCAUGCAGGUAACCUCUCACUGAG
Molecule: long non-coding RNA, 355 nt
Organism: Cygnus olor (mute swan)
Lineage: Eukaryota; Metazoa; Chordata; Aves; Anseriformes; Anatidae
Exons: 3
Source: RefSeq, a predicted model, not a curated record